Molecule: ribosomal RNA, 368 nt
Filed under: Austrocochlea diminuta
Lineage: Eukaryota; Metazoa; Mollusca; Gastropoda; Trochida; Trochidae
Description: partial 16S ribosomal RNA
Rfam family: Bacterial large subunit ribosomal RNA
Source: RNAcentral
GGACGAGAAGACCCUAUUGAGCUUUAGUGAAGGAUGAAGCUGAGGUUGACGGCUGUAUAGGUCGUAUUGUUAAUGUAUUAAUAAAAUUGUGUUUUAUUACGAAUCUUUAGUUGGGGCGACUGAGGAACAAUAAAAGCUUCCUUUGAAAAUAAUGAGGUUAGUAAGGAAUAUUGCUGGCAAGCUAUUUGAUCCAGUAGUGUAUAUUGAUUAAAGGAAAAAGUUACCAUAGGGAUAACAGCGUAGUCUUUCUGGAGAGAUCUUAUCGAAAGAAGGGUUUGCGACCUCGAUGUUGGACUAAGAUAUCCUAAGGGUGUAGAAGUUCUUAAGGGUUGGUCUGUUCGACCAUUAAAAUCUUACGUGAUCUGAGU